This is a long non-coding RNA of Hemicordylus capensis (graceful crag lizard), 220 nucleotides long. RefSeq lists it as uncharacterized. The record is from RefSeq and is a predicted model, not a curated record. The transcript has 2 exons. NCBI's taxonomy places the organism in Eukaryota, Metazoa, Chordata, Lepidosauria, Squamata, Cordylidae.
CUCUCUCUCUCUCUCUGCCGUUCCAUUCCACUAAAGUGGCAAGCCACGGCUGUAUUUUUGCCUGUGCGGUACACCAGAACCACCUUGAGGCGACUGCGCUUUGCAAAGAUUGUCCCUGAAUUUGAGGCAGCACUUCUAGACCUCUCAGCAAGCAACAAUCUGGAUCCAAUUUUCAAAUGAAAGGCCACUUCAUUAAACAUUUUUCUUUUAAACUAUGGAA